GAUGAACGCUGGCGGCGUGCCUAAUACAUGCAAGUCGAGCGAACGGACGAGAAGCUUGCUUCUCUGAUGUUAGCGGCGGACGGGUGAGUAACACGUGGAUAACCUACCUAUAAGACUGGGAUAACUUCGGGAAACCGGAGCUAAUACCGGAUAAUAUUUUGAACCGCAUGGUUCAAAAGUGAAAGACGGUCUUGCUGUCACUUAUAGAUGGAUCCGCGCUGCAUUAGCUAGUUGGUAAGGUAACGGCUUACCAAGGCAACGAUGCAUAGCCGACCUGAGAGGGUGAUCGGCCACACUGGAGCUGAGACACGGUCCAGACUCCUACGGGAGGCAGCAGUAGGGAAUCUUCCGCAAUGGGCGAAAGCCUGACGGAGCAACGCCGCGUGAGUGAUGAAGGUCUUCGGAUCGUAAAACUCUGUUAUUAGGGAAGAACAUAUGUGUAAGUAACUGUGCACAUCUUGACGGUACCUAAUCAGAAAGCCACGGCUAACUACGUGCCAGCAGCCGCGGUAAUACGUAGGUGGCAAGCGUUAUCCGGAAUUAUUGGGCGUAAAGCGCGCGUAGGCGGUUUUUUAAGUCUGAUGUGAAAGCCCACGGCUCAACCGUGGAGGGUCAUUGGAAACUGGAAAACUUGAGUGCAGAAGAGGAAAGUGGAAUUCCAUGUGUAGCGGUGAAAUGCGCAGAGAUAUGGAGGAACACCAGUGGCGAAGGCGACUUUCUGGUCUGUAACUGACGCUGAUGUGCGAAAGCGUGGGGAUCAAACAGGAUUAGAUACCCUGGUAGUCCACGCCGUAAACGAUGAGUGCUAAGUGUUAGGGGGUUUCCGCCCCUUAGUGCUGCAGCUAACGCAUUAAGCACACCGCCUGGGGAGUACGACCGCAAGGUUGAAACUCAAAGGAAUCGACGGGGACCCGCACAAGCGGUGGAGCAUGUGGUUUAAUUCGAAGCAACGCGAAGAACCUUACCAAAUCUUGACAUCCUUUGACAACUCUAGAGAUAGAGCCUUCCCCUUCGGGGGACAAAGUGACAGGUGGUGCAUGGUUGUCGUCAGCUCGUGUCGUGAGAUGUUGGGUUAAGUCCCGCAACGAGCGCAACCCUUAAGCUUAGUUGCCAUCAUUAAGUUGGGCACUCUAAGUUGACUGCCGGUGACAAACCGGAGGAAGGUGGGGAUGACGUCAAAUCAUCAUGCCCCUUAUGAUUUGGGCUACACACGUGCUACAAUGGACAAUACAAAGGGCAGCGAAACCGCGAGGUCAAGCAAAUCCCAUAAAGUUGUUCUCAGUUCGGAUUGUAGUCUGCAACUCGACUACAUGAAGCUGGAAUCGCUAGUAAUCGUAGAUCAGCAUGCUACGGUGAAUACGUUCCCGGGUCU
Molecule: ribosomal RNA, 1372 nt
Filed under: uncultured bacterium
Lineage: Bacteria
Description: bacterial SSU rRNA
Rfam family: Bacterial small subunit ribosomal RNA
Source: RNAcentral